RNAcentral lists this ribosomal RNA (497 nucleotides) under uncultured bacterium. RNAcentral describes it as "partial 16S ribosomal RNA". It matches the Rfam family "Bacterial small subunit ribosomal RNA", at positions 28 to 507 of the family's 1533-position model. The record is from RNAcentral.
GAUGAACGCUGGCGGCGUGCCUAAUACAUGCAAGUCGAGCGAACGGACGAGAAGCUUGCUUCUCUGAUGUUAGCGGCGGACGGGUGAGUAACACGUGGAUAACCUACCUAUAAGACUGGGAUAACUUCGGGAAACCGGAGCUAAUACCGGAUAAUAUUUUGAACCGCAUGGUUCAAUAGUGAAAGACGGUUUUGCUGUCACUUAUAGAUGGAUCCGCGCUGCAUUAGCUAGUUGGUAAGGUAACGGCUUACCAAGGCGACGAUGCAUAGCCGACCUGAGAGGGUGAUCGGCCACACUGGAACUGAGACACGGUCCAGACUCCUACGGGAGGCAGCAGUAGGGAAUCUUCCGCAAUGGGCGAAAGCCUGACGGAGCAACGCCGCGUGAGUGAUGAAGGUCUUCGGAUCGUAAAACUCUGUUAUUAGGGAAGAACAUAUGUGUAAGUAACUGUGCACGUCUUGACGGUACCUAAUCAGAAAGCCACGGCUAACUACGUG